CGGCGGACGGGUGAGGAACGCGUGGGUAACCUGCCCUAUACAGGGGGAUAACGUGUAGAAAUGCACGCUAAAACCGCAUAAGCUACAUUGGUCGCAUGACGAAGGUGGAAAAACUGAGGUGGUAUAGGAUGGGCCCGCGUCUGAUUAGCUAGUUGGAGAGGUAAAGGCUCACCAAGGCGACGAUCAGUAGCCGGUCUGAGAGGAUGGACGGCCACAUUGGGACUGAGACACGGCCCAA
RNAcentral lists this ribosomal RNA (238 nucleotides) under uncultured bacterium. Its description in RNAcentral is "partial 16S ribosomal RNA". It matches the Rfam family "Bacterial small subunit ribosomal RNA", at positions 96 to 334 of the family's 1533-position model. The record is from RNAcentral.